Non-coding RNA from Paramuricea clavata, 690 nucleotides. NCBI's taxonomy places the organism in Eukaryota, Metazoa, Cnidaria, Anthozoa, Malacalcyonacea, Plexauridae. The record is from the annotation of a GenBank genome assembly.
GUAUAGUGUAAACCACAAAAUCCGCUGAAAAUGCGAGCCUGUGGCACUACACAGCUAAAAACGAUCAGGUUGUUGCAAUAUUGAUGAAAACAGGAUUGAACAAUGUUGUGUGGCCCACAUUGUUCACAGUUGUCAACAAUAUUGAACAAUAUUGUUACACCCGAUUCAGGCUCAACAAUAUUGUUCAAAAUUGAACAAUGAGGGCCGCAAUGAACAAUGAGAGCCGCACAACAUUGUUCAAUCCUGUUAAACAGCGGACUCAUAAUUUUUGGGAGAGAAUUUUGUAGGAGAAAAUUUACUGAAUAUGACCAACGUGUUCCGUUAUCCAUAUAUUUAGUCAUUUGUGUUGUGUUCCUUUGUAACCUUUCCCGAGCAAACUGUCAUUAUAUUGUCUGCAGUGAUAUCGUCAUGUCCUCUACAUUAUGGGUGAAGGGCAUCGUGGGUAAUCGUUUCUGUCACACUAGAACGAAAGAAUUUUUUAAUAAGUAUUUUUAAUACAAUAGUUUGUCGUCUCACGAAACAACUCUGGGUGUCAGGUGCAGAGGCGUAGCCAAGGCUGGGGAGUGGGGCCGGGGGCCCGCCCCCCUCCCACCUGGCAAAAUUUUGGGCGCCCCCUGAUAAAAUGUCUUGUAUAAAAAGGGGAAUCCUUGAUUAUAUAGCUUCAUGCUGUCAAUAAUGCAAACUGAAUCU